Molecule: unclassified non-coding RNA, 502 nt
Filed under: uncultured marine bacterium
Lineage: Bacteria
Description: partial contains 16S ribosomal RNA, 16S-23S ribosomal RNA intergenic spacer, and 23S ribosomal RNA
Rfam family: Bacterial small subunit ribosomal RNA (bases 1-122)
Source: RNAcentral
CAUGGAAGUUGGGGGUACCUGAAGUCAGUAACCGCAAGGAACUGCCUAGGGUAAAACGAAUAACUAGGGCUAAGUCGUAACAAGGUAGCCGUACCGGAAGGUGUGGCUGGAAUAUCUCUUUUUUUGAGUAAAUUCUUUUGUUUGGUUUCUAAUUCUAUCUUCUUUUUUACUUUUUUCCCUUUAGAGUCUCGUAGCUCAGCUGGUUAGAGCGCUACACUGAUAAUGUAGAGGUCGGCAGUUCGAGUCUGCCCGAGACUACAUUAAAAAAGGGGGGAUUAGCUCAGUUGGUUAGAGCGCCUGCUUUGCAAGCAGGAGGCCAUCGGUUCGAAUCCGAUAUUCUCCACAAAAAAGUUCUUUGACAUAUUGUAAUGAAUAUAUAUACUUAAUAUUUAAAAGUUAUUAAGGGCGUAUGGCGGAUGCCUUGGCUCUCAUUGGCGAUGAAGGACGUGACAAGCUGCGAUAAGUUUCGAUUAGGUGCAAAUAACCUUUGAAUCGAAAAUUU